UGCGCCAUCGCCAAGCGGUAAGGCAGAGGACUUUGACUCCUCCAUCGCAGGUUCGACCCCUGCUGGCGCAA
This 71-nucleotide transfer RNA is filed under the name Bacteriophage sp. RNAcentral's name for it is "tRNA-Gln". It matches the Rfam family "tRNA". Rfam says of the family: Transfer RNA (tRNA) molecules are approximately 80 nucleotides in length. The record is from RNAcentral.